ACGGCGAGUGAGCGGCAAAGCUCAAAUUUGAAAUCUGGCACCUUCGGUGUCCGAGUUGUAAUUUGAAGAAGGUAACUUUGGAGUUGGCUCUUGUCUAUGUUCCUUGGAACAGGACGUCACAGAGGGUGAGAAUCCCGUGCGAUGAGAUGCCCAAUUCUAUGUAAAGUGCUUUCGAAGAGUCGAGUUGUUUGGGAAUGCAGCUCUAAGUGGGUGGUAAAUUCCAUCUAAAGCUAAAUAUUGGCGAGAGACCGAUAGCGAACAAGUACAGUGAUGGAAAGAUGAAAAGAACUUUGAAAAGAGAGUGAAAAAGUACGUGAAAUUGUUGAAAGGGAAGGGCUUGAGAUCAGACUUGGUAUUUUGCGAUCCUUUCCUUCUUGGUUGGGUUCCUCGCAGCUUACUGGGCCAGCAUCGGUUUGGAUGGUAGGAUAAUGACUAAGGAAUGUGGCUCUACUUCGGUGGAGUGUUAUAGCCUUGGUUGAUACUGCCUGUCUAGACCGAGGACUGCGUCUUUUGACUAGGAUGUUGGCAUAAUGAUCUUAAGCCACCCGUCUUGAAACACGGACCA
Molecule: ribosomal RNA, 565 nt
Filed under: Debaryomyces hansenii
Lineage: Eukaryota; Fungi; Ascomycota; Pichiomycetes; Serinales; Debaryomycetaceae
Description: LSU rRNA
Rfam family: Eukaryotic large subunit ribosomal RNA
Source: RNAcentral